AGUGAACGCUGGCGGCAGGCCUAACACAUGCAAGUCGAGCGGCAGCGCGGGGGCAACCCUGGCGGCGAGCGGCGGACGGGUGAGGAAUUCGUCGGAAUCUGCCUUUUUGUGGGGGAUAACGUAGGGAAACUUACGCUAAUACCGCAUACGUCCUACGGGAGAAAGUGGGGGACCGCAAGGCCUCACGCAGAAAGAUGAGCCGACGACCGAUUAGCUAGUUGGUGGGGUAAAGGCCCACCAAGGCGACGAUCGGUAGCUGGUCUGAGAGGAUGAUCAGCCACAGGGGGAAGGAAACGCGGCCCAGAGUCCGAGGGGAGGCAGGAGGGGGGAAUUGUGGAAAAAGGGGGAAAGCCUGACCCAGCCAGGCCGGGGGGGUGAAGAAGGCCUUGGGGUUGUAAAACACUUUUGGCGGGAAAAAAACCCCUGGGGAUAAAACAUGGGGGGGAGGAGGGUACGGGAAAAAAAAGCACGGGCAAAUUUGGG
RNAcentral lists this ribosomal RNA (483 nucleotides) under uncultured bacterium. Its description in RNAcentral is "partial 16S ribosomal RNA". It matches the Rfam family "Bacterial small subunit ribosomal RNA", at positions 30 to 506 of the family's 1533-position model. The record is from RNAcentral.